RNAcentral lists this ribosomal RNA (448 nucleotides) under uncultured bacterium. RNAcentral describes it as "bacterial SSU rRNA". It matches the Rfam family "Bacterial small subunit ribosomal RNA", at positions 330 to 793 of the family's 1533-position model. The record is from RNAcentral.
CCCAGACUCCUACGGGAGGCAGCAGUGGGGGAUAUUGCACAAUGGGGGAAACCCUGAUGCAGCGACGCCGCGUGGGCGAAGAAGUAUUUCGGUAUGUAAAGCCCUAUCAGCAGGGAAGAAGAAAUGACGGUACCUGAGUAAGAAGCACCGGCUAAAUACGUGCCAGCAGCCGCGGUAAUACGUAUGGUGCAAGCGUUAUCCGGAUUUACUGGGUGUAAAGGGAGCGUAGGUGGCAGGGCAAGUCUGAUGUGAAAACCCGGGGCUCAACCCCGGGAGUGCAUUUGAAACUGUCCAGCUGGAGUGCAGGAGAGGUAAGCGGAAUUCCUAGUGUAGCGGUGAAAUGCGUAGAUAUUAGGAGGAACACCAGUGGCGAAGGCGGCUUACUGGACUGUAACUGACGUUGAGGCUCGAAAGCGUGGGGAGCAAACAGGAUUAGAUACCCCGGUAC